CCAGCCGCUUGGCUGUUGGGUUUACAAUGGGAAUAUGAAUUGAAAAGGAGGAAAUAAAUUGAAAAUAUAAAAAACAUUUAUUAACUAAUACCUAGGAAAAUUAAAUGAAUUUUAAUAGUUUUUUUUAAAAAAUGAAUUAUUCUAUCUAAAAUAAAUUAGAGGAAAAAAAAUUGAAAAAAAAGAAAAGACAGACUUCAUCGUCCUCGUCGUCUCUCACUCUUCUCUCUCAGUCUCGCGAUUCGCU
RNAcentral lists this long non-coding RNA (244 nucleotides) under Lathyrus oleraceus (garden pea). RNAcentral's name for it is "Pisum sativum (pea) long non-coding RNA (PSAT_LNC004675)". The record is from RNAcentral. Lineage: Eukaryota; Viridiplantae; Streptophyta; Magnoliopsida; Fabales; Fabaceae.